AGUGAACGCUGGCGGUAGGCCUAACACAUGCAAGUCGAACGGCAGCACAGUAAGAGCUUGCUCUUACGGGUGGCGAGUGGCGGACGGGUGAGGAAUACAUCGGAAUCUACUUUUUCGUGGGGGAUAACGUAGGGAAACUUACGCUAAUACCGCAUACGACCUACGGGUGAAAGCAGGGGAUCUUCGGACCUUGCGCGAUUGAAUGAGCCGAUGUCGGAUUAGCUAGUUGGCGGGGUAAAGGCCCACCAAGGCGACGAUCCGUAGCUGGUCUGAGAGGAUGAUCAGCCACACUGGAACUGAGACACAGUCCAGACUCCUACGGGAGGCAGCAGUGGGGAAUAUUGGACAACGGGCGCAAGCCUGAUCCAGCCAUACCGCGUGGGUGAAGAAGGCCUUCGGGUUGUAAAGCCCUUUUGUUGGGAAAGAAAAGCAGCAGGUUAAUACCCCGCUGUUCUGACGGUACCCAAAGAAUAAGCACCGGCUAACUUCGUG
This 492-nucleotide ribosomal RNA is filed under the name uncultured bacterium. RNAcentral's name for it is "partial 16S ribosomal RNA". It matches the Rfam family "Bacterial small subunit ribosomal RNA", at positions 29 to 507 of the family's 1533-position model. The record is from RNAcentral.